CCGGCGCGUAACACACAAUCAUCGGAGACUUGAAUAGUUACAACUCGAUCUUGGCGACAUAUUGAGUACCAAUUAAAUAAUAAUAUAAUCAAUGUUGUUUCGUUGCAAGUUAAAAACCAGUGACGUGAUAUAAUUAUAAAAUAAUUGAACAUUCGUGUAGUACACUGCAGUGUACCGCAACAGUGAGGAGUAUUAUCCGGAAAGGUUUAAAACAUUCAAAGCGAUGUCAAGACAAAAUGCAAUUGGAACCAAAAACGAUUUUAAAAAAUCUAUUAAAUUUCAAAAUAGGGGAUGAUG
Sipha flava (yellow sugarcane aphid) is the source of this 297-nucleotide long non-coding RNA. RefSeq lists it as uncharacterized. The transcript is spliced from 3 exons. The record is from RefSeq and is a predicted model, not a curated record. NCBI's taxonomy places the organism in Eukaryota, Metazoa, Arthropoda, Insecta, Hemiptera, Aphididae.